This 820-nucleotide ribosomal RNA is filed under the name uncultured bacterium. RNAcentral's name for it is "bacterial SSU rRNA". It matches the Rfam family "Bacterial small subunit ribosomal RNA", at positions 36 to 888 of the family's 1533-position model. RNAcentral also lists the same sequence under 1 other name. The record is from RNAcentral.
CUUGCCGCUGCUUACCAUGCAAGUCGAGGGGCUCUUCGGAGCCACUGGCGCACGGGUGAGUAACACGUAGGUCAUCUACCCCUAUCACAGACAUAACUCCGGGAAACCGGUGCUAAUAUCUGAUGAGGUCGCGAGAUCAAAGCUUCGGCGGAUAGGGAUGAGCCUGCGGCUGAUUAGCUAGUUGGUGAGGUAACGGCUCACCAAGGCAACGAUCAGUAGCUGGUCUGAGAGGACGAACAGCCACACUGGAACUGAGACACGGUCCAGACUCCUACGGGAGGCAGCAGUGAGGAAUAUUGGUCAAUGGGAGCAAUCCUGAACCAGCAAUGCCGCGUGUGGGAUGACAGGGCUCAGCCUUGUAAACCACUGUCGGACGGGACGAGAAGGUGCCUCGGGCACCCGGGACGGUACCGUCAAAGGAAGGGUCGGCUAACUACGUGCCAGCAGCCGCGGUAAUACGUAGGACCCAAGCGUUGUCCGGAUUUACUGGGUAUAAAGGGUGCGCAGGCGGUCGAGUGCGUCAGAGGUGAAAUAUCCGGGCUUAACCCGGAGGGUGCCUUUGAUACGGCUUGACUUGAGUCCGAGAGAGGGUGAUGGAAUUCCUGGUGUAGCGGUGAAAUGCGUAGAUAUCAGGAGGAACACCGGUGGCGAAGGCGGUCACCUGGCUCGGAACUGACGCUCAGGCACGAAAGCGCGGGGAUCAAACAGGAUUAGAUACCCUGGUAGUCCGCGCCCUAAACGAUGUAUGCUUGGUGUUGGGCCUUUCGGGGUUCAGUGCCGUAGAAAUCUGGGUAAGCAUACCACCUGGGGAGUACGAUCG